AGAAGGAAUCAUAGGCACAGAGUUAUAAGUAUGUUGAAGAAUGUUACAAAACGGGUAAGAGACCCAGGAUCCAAGCACAAGACGUCUGUCUUCGUGCAAGUUCAUAUAAACAUUACAAUCUCAUUUAAGAAUUUUUUUUAGGAGGGAGGUGAGACAAGAUGGCAGAACAGAAAACUCCACAGAUCAUCCUCCUACCCCUACCACAAGGAUACUAAGUUAACAAACAACUACACAGAAAAAAGCAUCUUCAUAAGAGCUAAAAAUCAGGUGAGCACUCACAGUACCUGGUUUUAACCUCGUAUCACUGAAAAGACAGAAAAACAGUUCUGAGUCUCCGAUGCCACCCCUCCCUGACCCCAGCAGCAUGGCUUGGUGCCAAGAGCAUCUCUGGGUGCUGGUGAAGGGAGAACAGAGCAAUUGUGAGGCACUGAACUCAGUGCCAUUUUGUUGCAGCAAAAAGGAAAACCUGACCAAACUAAGCUGAAGUCCACCCAAAAGAAG
RNAcentral lists this long non-coding RNA (501 nucleotides) under Pan troglodytes (chimpanzee). RNAcentral describes it as "lincRNA". Lineage: Eukaryota; Metazoa; Chordata; Mammalia; Primates; Hominidae. The record is from RNAcentral.